AUGAGAAGCUACUCACCGUUGCAAGGGAGGAAGACAGCAUCUCUAAUGAAAUACCAGGAGGAAUUCAGGGAGUCAUCAUGUGAAUUACUUAAAGAGCAACUUGAGCAACACUCCUCCACACAGACAUGCAUUUUUUUUUCAGAUGAAAGAUCAUUCCUGCACGUAAGUACUCAGGAAUUCACUUUUAUAUUCAUCCUAAAUGUAAAGAUAAAUAGAGAUAUCGUGAUCUUUUUAUUACUAUUAUUAUUAUUAUUUAUUUAUUUUUAAGACAAGGACAUUGAAGGACCUUUCUAUUUCUGUCAUUUAUGCUCAUUAUAAAUGGAAAUGGCUUGAUGCUGAUUUCUUACAGAAUUAUGUUUUGUUUUUCACUACAAUGCUGGUAUUUGGUCUCUCAAGAAACCUUAACUUUCAGUUAAACCUCAUAAUGAAUGUGGAAAAAUGAAGGACAGUUUGUCAACAAGCCAAAAAAUAUAAUUAAAUCCUUUACUUGUUAGGCACUAGACCUCUGUUAAGCAUGGCCCAGAUGAGUCACACGUAUCAGGAAGAGAAUAGUUGCGUGGAGGCAGAAUUGACAAAGCCUUAUGAUGAAUAAGGUCACUCUUCCCAGGCUCAUAAAAGAUGGCAACUUUACAACUGUAGCAUAACAAAUCUGUUUUUAUUUAUUACCCACAAAAUCACAUAGUUUCCUAAGUAGUGAACUUUUUUUUAAAAAAGGCUUCUUUAUGCAUGAGUAAAUAUUUUUCUAAUGAAAUCUUGAUAUGUCUUGCAACCCAACCCUAGUUUGUUUAAUAGUGAGAUAGCUUUUCUCCAGGGAAAGCAGUAAGAAAUGGGGGAUGGGAAAGGGAGAAAUUGGCUCUGGCUACAACGAGCAGCUGCUCUUGCUACUUGCCUGCAAUGGAGUAAUACAUCAGUAAUUAUUUGAAAGUCAGACAGAUUCCCUGCUUUCCUUGCCAGACAAAACUCUGAGAACUGAAGACUGGAAAGGAGGAUAAAGGACUUUCAGUUUACUGUUUUUCCACUCAUGGCUUUUUUUUCCAUGUUAGCAGCUACUGCUGCUAUUAAUUUUCUGGUCUUUGUGCCCUGAGAGGCCUCACAUACUAUGCAAACUUAGUUUUAGCACUUGAGCACUAAUGCUUUUAUGUUUAUUAAAUUAACUUUUACAAAACGUUCCAGCUGUUUCUACCAUUAACUUCCAUCUGAAAGAAUAAUGUUUAUUUCCUAUUCUAUUUUAGGAAUGAUCCCAACAAAACAGUUGGUCUUCAUGGAAGAAAGGUGAAAACAGCAAAAAAAUCCACAUAAGAAAACAUUUCAAGUGGUACACCACUCAGCUGUGGUUUUCCGUGCAAGCAGAAACAGGAAGUAAAGCUAAUCUUUGAACUAGUCCCUGAAGAUGAUGAAUCAGACUCUAUUUACACUAGGAAAAUGAUGGAAAGCUUCUCACCGUUGCUAAAACAAAUUCAUGGCAUCUGAAGAAAUGUUACAUUUUCAUCACAGUUCACAGAGAUCCAAAAUAGAAUGAAUAAUGAGUAAUGUCUGAAUUAGUUUGUCGUUUUGCAAAAUCCCCCUCUUAGAUUCCCGUUAAGAAAUCUAAGGAAGAAAACACAAUUAGCUAGUGUAACGCCCCACUGACCCAAACUGGACUUGGGCAGCAAGGAAUUCAUUGCCCAACAACCUUCUGCAAAGACAGGCUAUUUUAAGGGGUUUGGGACCAGAUAAAACGUGAGGAACUCCUUGUGCAACUAGGAUGAUCAAAGCAAAUUAUAUUUAUGGAGGAUCUGCUUGUCAGAAAAUAUGUGCCUAAUGUAGCCUAAGAAGCUUGUGGACUUCCAGGAUAGAUUAGGUCUGUACAGGCAUGGCAGGGGACCUGUGUAAACCGAUCACUUUUUGCUGCAGCAGCAGCUAAACACGGAAGAAUACUCUUGGGCAUCUCAAAUGGAACCAGACCCAUAUGCACAAGCAUCUAAAUAAAGCCCUAAAUGUUAACCA
Molecule: long non-coding RNA, 1986 nt
Filed under: Anas platyrhynchos platyrhynchos (common mallard)
Lineage: Eukaryota; Metazoa; Chordata; Aves; Anseriformes; Anatidae
Description: lncRNA (ENSAPLG00000026442.1)
Source: RNAcentral